AAAUUCAUCAUGUCAUUGCUUUUUAAUUUUACAGUCAUACAAUCUUUUUUUGUUUCUUUCCAGUGUCUCAAAACCAUAAAAAAUAAAUAUACAUUAUGUUACAAAACAUUUCCAGUGUCUCAGAUUAUACAAAAACACACAUCUUAUCAACAGCAUUGAUUACAUAAGGGCAAAACACUGGGCGUGUACAGGAUGUAAGGUACAAAGGCAUUUAGCGACUGUACAUUGUAAAAUGACCUUUUACUAGCUGCAUAAUGCUUCAGAGCUGCUGUCAUUUUGAGUUUUAACCCACAUUUGAAAACUUAGCGAUUAAAAGGCAGCAUCAAUUACGCAAUUUCUGAACAGACCCGCUUAGUCUGUUUCUUACUUUUACACUACGAAAGAUCAACAAAUGGCUUUUUUUUAUUUUAUUUUAAAGAUUCUGCACUAAAAUGGAGUUAAACCGAGCUGACGGCCAACUCUAAUCUGCUUAUUCACCAGAUCUCAUGACUUUGGUAACCAGGAGUGUGUCUUGCAUUGGAUAAACAGGCUCGACAAACACUGGAAAACAAGGCUUCAGGUUCACAGUGCUCCAACUGCAAAGCUGAGUUUUCAGCAGAGGAGGAAUUCCUCUUCAUUCCACAUAAUUAAAGUUCAUUUACACCGUACUCUUGCGUGUGUGCAUGCACUCAAACACAACAGCAGCAGCCUGUGAAUGCACCGCCGUAGAGUGGAAGUCCACUGUAGCCUUUUACAGUAUUGUGUGAGCUUGUAAGGCCUCGAUGCAGCAUGAAGGCACGCGGCGCAUAUUUGUUGUUCUCUGACUGUUAGACCGGCGUACGAUGUGAUUUGUUCUUUUUUUUCACUACUGCUUUCUUGCUAAAACUGACAUAGAAAAUAGAUCAUUUCUUCUUCACUUUUUAAAAUUAUCUACAUGUUACUUACACUCUAAAUACACUGCACCGAGAGGCUGUGGAAGCCUUUCUUUAAUUAAAACAAAAAAGAAGAGCACUUUGUGUUUCAUAGCUCUGCCCAGCAUGAACUGUGUCAGACAUCUGAGGGACCUGCAGUCUUUGAAAUCAUUUUGGAUUACAACUGUGACGGUACCAGCCUUUAGAGGUUCGUGAACAGUGAUUAUUACAUCUGACACUUUGCUAACUUCACCUAAAGAAACAGAACAUAUUGAUGUGCUCCUCGCCAACACUAGAGAAGAGCUUCAUGUUAGGGCCCACAAUGCAUUCUGGGUGUCAUUCUUCAUCUUCCGACUCUUCCUAAUGAUUUCCAUUAGUGGUUUUGGCACACGUGGCUCAACUGUGUCUUUACACAGUCCAGCACAGCGUUCCCUUUGUUAUCGCUCACAUCUCUGCUUAUUUUCUCAUCUAAGGCAGUCCUAACGUCUGCAAUUAAUACUGCUCGCCCGAGAAAGGAAACAUGACGGGAGCGGCGAUGCUGACAGGAUCAGGCUUCUCUUCAUCCAUCCUUUAACACCUCUCCAUCUUGCAACUUUUCCUUUCAUGUUCCUCGACUCUUGGUCCCCUCAGCCCCGACCUGGCAGGUUGUUUAGCUCCUCCUCUCAUAAAGGCAGGCUGGUCUGGGUUUGCCUAACAGGUCAGAUCGAAGUCUCGUUACUGCCACUGUUAACAGAGGGGAACAAAAGGACAGGAGGGAGAGGAGAGGGAGGGGGAUGCAAAGAGAAAGAAAAGAGGGGAACAUGCAAGGUAAAAUGAGUGCAGGGAUGCGGGAGGGUCCUCAUGCAGCAUUUAAUC
Astatotilapia calliptera (eastern happy) is the source of this 1745-nucleotide long non-coding RNA. The record is from Ensembl. NCBI's taxonomy places the organism in Eukaryota, Metazoa, Chordata, Actinopteri, Cichliformes, Cichlidae.